Medicago truncatula (barrel medic) is the source of this 521-nucleotide long non-coding RNA. RefSeq lists it as uncharacterized. NCBI's taxonomy places the organism in Eukaryota, Viridiplantae, Streptophyta, Magnoliopsida, Fabales, Fabaceae. The record is from RefSeq and is a predicted model, not a curated record. The transcript has 3 exons.
AAUAAAACAUAGCAGAAGAUUUUUAACUGUAUAAAUUGAAUAACAAAAUUUUAUUUGUUGCGUGAAAUGGUGGGGAAAAAAAUGGUUGAAAUUCUCAAGUUUGUUUAUAUUAUACUCCUUUUUAUUUCUCUAUUUCUUGUUGUUAUCAAUGUUGAUGGAAAGCAUGAUUAUCACAUGUAUUUUCAACGCAUACCUUGUCCCGAGGAUCAAAACCUUUAUUGUAGUCAAAUUGAAUGUUGGUGCAAAUAAAAGACAUACUUUAAUCCAAAUUAUAAUCCAAUUGACAUGGCAAGUAAUAGGUGGAGUAGCAAUUGUUAAGGAGGAUUCGAGGACAUGCGCGCAGCUUUAUUUUUUGAGUGUCUUAUUGGUUUUUAAAUUCCUAUGGAUUUUGGUGUUAUGUUAUUUUAUUUUAUUUUGUUAAGUUAUCGUUGUUAUCACUAAACUUUCGACACGUGUGAUGUACGGGAACACGGGUCCUCUUGACUGUAAUAGAGAUAAAUAAGUUAUAUUAUAUGUUUUCA